This 1238-nucleotide ribosomal RNA is filed under the name metagenome. RNAcentral describes it as "SSU rRNA". It matches the Rfam family "Eukaryotic small subunit ribosomal RNA", at positions 528 to 1790 of the family's 1831-position model. The record is from RNAcentral.
AAUCCCUUAUCGAGGGUCAAUUGGAGGGCAAGUCUGGUGCCAGCAGCCGCGGAAAUUCCAGCUCCAAUAGCGUAUAUUAAAGUUGUUGCAGUUAAAAAGCUCGUAGUUGGAUUUGUGGCAUACGGUGGGUUCCGGGCACUUGUUGUCUGAGUAAUUUGCUGUAGCCAUCCUUGGGUGGAACCAGUGUGGCAUUAGGUUGUCGUGCUGGGGAUGCCCAUCAUUUACUGUGAAAAAAUUAGAGUGUUCAAAGCAGGCUUAUGCCGUUGAAUAUAUUAGCAUGGAAUAAUGAGAUAGGACUUUUUUGCUAUUUUGUUGGUUUGCGCAAAGAGGUAAUGAUUAAUAGGGACAGUUGGGGGUAUUCGUAUUCCAUUGUCAGAGGUGAAAUUCUUGGAUUUCUGGAAGACGAACUACUGCGAAAGCAUUUACCAAGGGUGUUUUCAUUAAUCAAGAACGAAAGUUAGGGGAUCGAAGAUGAUUAGAUACCAUCGUAGUCUUAACCAUAAACUAUGCCGACAAGGGAUUGGUGGAGUCUCGUUAUGUCUCCAUCAGCACCUUAUGAGAAAUCACAAGUCUUUGGGUUCCGGGGGGAGUAUGGUCGCAAGGCUGUAACUUAAAGAAAUUGACGGAAGGGCACCACCAGGAGUGGAGCCUGCGGCUUAUUUUGACCCAACACGGGAAAACUUACCAGGUCCAGACAUAGUGAGGAUUGACAGAUUGAGAGCUCUUUCUUGAUUCUAUGGGUGGUGGUGCAUGGCCGUUCUUAGUUGGUGGAGUGAUUUGUCUGGUUAAUUCCGUUAACGAACGAGACCACUGCCUGCUAAAUAGCCCAGUGAGUGAAUCUUCACUGACUGCUGGCUUCUUAGAGGGACGUGCAUUCUAUCAGAUGCAGGAGGAUAGUGGCUAUAACAGGUCUGUGAUGCCCUUAGAUGUCCUGGGCCGCACGCGCGCUACACUGAUGCAUUCAACGAGUUUUACCUUGGCCGAGAGGCCUGGGCAAUCUUUUAAACGUGCAUCGUGAUAGGGAUAGAUUAUUGCAAUUAUUAAUCUUGAACGAGGAAUUCCUAGUAAACGCAAAUCAUCAAUUUGCAUUGAUUACGUCCCUGCCCUUUGUACACACCGCCCGUCGCACCUACCGAUUGAAUGGUCCGGUGAAGCCUCGGGAUUGUGGCUAGUUCACUUUAUUGGGAGUUGGCUGCGAGAACUUGUCUAAACCUUAUCAUUUAGAGGAAGGUGAAGUC